This 261-nucleotide ribosomal RNA is filed under the name uncultured archaeon. RNAcentral's name for it is "partial 16S ribosomal RNA". It matches the Rfam family "Archaeal small subunit ribosomal RNA", at positions 748 to 1009 of the family's 1478-position model. The record is from RNAcentral.
CAGCCGUAAACUAUGCUCGCUAGGUGUCAGGGACGGUGCGACCGUUUCUGGUGCCGCAGGGAAGCCGUGAAGCGAGCCACCUGGGAAGUACGGUCGCAAGGCUGAAACUUAAAGGAAUUGGCGGGGGAGCACUACAACGGGUGGAGCCUGCGGUUUAAUUGGACUCAACGCCGGAAAACUCACCGGGGGCGACAGCAACAUGAAGGCCAAGCUGAAGACUUUGCCGGAUUAGCUGAGAGGUGGUGCAUGGCGUAGUCGUGU